GACGAACCGUGCGAACGUUAUUCGGAAUCACUGGGCUUAAAGCGCGUGUAGGCGGGACGGUGCGUCGGCCGCUGAAAUCCCCCGGCUCAACCGGGGAAGGGGCGCCGAUACGACCGCCCUGGAGCGACGUAGGGGGAACUGGAACUUCCGGUGGAGCGGUGAAAUGCGUUGAGAUCGGAAGGAACGCCCGUGGCGAAAGCGAGUUCCUGGACGUCGGCUGACGCUGAGACGCGAAAGCCAGGGGAGCGAACGGG
This 254-nucleotide ribosomal RNA is filed under the name uncultured bacterium. RNAcentral describes it as "partial 16S ribosomal RNA". It matches the Rfam family "Bacterial small subunit ribosomal RNA", at positions 524 to 776 of the family's 1533-position model. The record is from RNAcentral.